UCCUCCCCGGGCGGCUCCUCCGCGCCGAUCACCUGACGCCGAGCUGCCACCGCCGGGUCCACCUUACCGUAAAUACCCCAGCGCCAGCCCACCGCGCAGCGCCGGGCGCCGGCGGGGAGGGGCGGGGGCACCCCGCCCGCGCACACUCACGCCGACACGCUUACACACUCACGCUGGCACACGCAACGCGGGCUGGGAAACGCUCGCCCCCUGCGCAGGCGGGCAGAGAGUUUAGCUCUGCCACAAGACUCCUGUAGCUGUUACUUCCACUCAAUUGGAGGUGACUGUCCAAUUGUAUGUAGCAACGAGGUAUGUCCACCAGAUGGCUCUACUUCAAGGAGUAAUACAAUUCUG
This 354-nucleotide long non-coding RNA is filed under the name Gallus gallus (chicken). RNAcentral describes it as "long non-coding RNA NONGGAT004292". The record is from RNAcentral. Lineage: Eukaryota; Metazoa; Chordata; Aves; Galliformes; Phasianidae.